GACGAACGCUGGCGGCGUGCUUAACACAUGCAAGUCGAACGGAAAGGCCUGCUUUCCCUUGUGGAUUGCGGGUACUCGAGUGGCGAACGGGUGAGUAACACGUGAGUGAUCUGCCCCCAACUUGGGUAUAAGCCUGGGAAACUGGGUCUAAUUCCCGAUAGGACUGCAGGGUGGUGCCUGUGGUGGAAAACGAUUUUCUAGUGGUUGGGUAUGAGCUCGCGGCCUAUCAGCUUGUUGGUGGGGUAAUGGCCUACCAAGGCGGCGACGGGUAGCCGGCCUGAGAGGGUGGACGGCCACAUUGGGACUGAGAUACGGCCCAGACUCCUACGGGAGGCAGCAGUGGGGAAUAUUGCACAAUGGGCGGAAGCCUGAUGCAGCGACGCCGCGUGGGGGAUGACGGCCUUCGGGUUGUAAACUCCUUUCGACCGCGAGGAAGCCACCUGGUUGGAAGGGUGGUGACGGUAGUGGUAGAAGAAGCACCGGCUAACUACGUG
RNAcentral lists this ribosomal RNA (494 nucleotides) under uncultured bacterium. RNAcentral's name for it is "partial 16S ribosomal RNA". It matches the Rfam family "Bacterial small subunit ribosomal RNA", at positions 28 to 507 of the family's 1533-position model. The record is from RNAcentral.